AAGGCUCCGGUUCACCCCACGGGGACCCGGCGGCC
This is a regulatory RNA element of Kutzneria sp. 744, 35 nucleotides long. It matches the Rfam family "L31-Actinobacteria ribosomal protein leader". NCBI's taxonomy places the organism in Bacteria, Bacillati, Actinomycetota, Actinomycetes, Pseudonocardiales, Pseudonocardiaceae. The record is from Rfam.